This 346-nucleotide small RNA is filed under the name Pongo abelii (Sumatran orangutan). Its description in RNAcentral is "retained intron". The record is from RNAcentral. Lineage: Eukaryota; Metazoa; Chordata; Mammalia; Primates; Hominidae.
CCCCUCCUCACUCCUCACCCUCCAGGGUAGCGGCUACCGGAGCGCUGCAGGGGGCUGCGCCUGCCUGCUCCGCCCCAGACCUGUCGGCGAAAGGUAGUUUAUGCCAACGUGACUUCAUUCAUACAGAUGAACCAAGGAUCAGGAUAGCAGUUUAAAAUUAGAAUCAGACAGCUGACUGCUCAGCAGGAUGCCAUCAACUAACAGAGCAGGCAGCCUGAAGGACCCUGAAAUUGCAGAGCUCUUCUUCAAAGAAGAUCCAGAGAAGCUCUUCACAGAUCUCAGAGAAAUUGGCCAUGGAAGCUUUGGAGCAGUGUAUUUUGUAAGUGUUAAUGGCUUGAUGUCAGUG